Molecule: ribosomal RNA, 498 nt
Filed under: uncultured bacterium
Lineage: Bacteria
Description: partial 16S ribosomal RNA
Rfam family: Bacterial small subunit ribosomal RNA
Source: RNAcentral
AUUGAACGCUGGCGGCAUGCCUUACACAUGCAAGUCGAACGGUAACAGGUCUUCGGAUGCUGACGAGUGGCGAACGGGUGAGUAAUACAUCGGAACGUGCCUAGUAGUGGGGGAUAACUACUCGAAAGAGUGGCUAAUACCGCAUGAGAUCUACGGAUGAAAGCAGGGGAUCGCAAGACCUUGUGCUACUAGAGCGGCCGAUGGCAGAUUAGGUAGUUGGUGGGAUAAAAGCUUACCAAGCCGACGAUCUGUAGCUGGCCUGAGAGGACGAUCAGCCACACUGGGACUGAGACACGGCCCAGACUCCUACGGGAGGCAGCAGUGGGGAAUUUUGGGCAAUGGGCGCAAGCCUGAUCCAGCAAUGCCGCGUGCAGGAUGAAGGCCUUCGGGUUGUAAACUGCUUUUGUACGGAACGAAAAGCCCCGGGUUAAUACCCUGGGGUCAUGACGGUACCGUAAGAAUAAGCACCGGCUAACUACGUGCCAGCCGCCGCCGUAA